This is a non-coding RNA of Hordeum vulgare subsp. vulgare (domesticated barley), 142 nucleotides long. The record is from Rfam. NCBI's taxonomy places the organism in Eukaryota, Viridiplantae, Streptophyta, Magnoliopsida, Poales, Poaceae.
CUUAUACUCCCUCCGUCCCAAAAUUCUUGUCUUAGGUUUGUCUAUAAAUGGAUGUAGGUGUAUCUAAAUACCAAAACGUGACUACAUACAUUCAUAUCUAGACAAAUCUAAGACAAGAAGUUUGGGACGGAGGGAGUAUUAA